RNAcentral lists this ribosomal RNA (254 nucleotides) under uncultured bacterium. Its description in RNAcentral is "partial 16S ribosomal RNA". It matches the Rfam family "Bacterial small subunit ribosomal RNA", at positions 524 to 777 of the family's 1533-position model. The record is from RNAcentral.
UACGAGGGGUGCAAGCGUUAAUCGGAAUUACUGGGCGUAAAGCGUGCGCAGGCGGUGAUGUAAGACAGAUGUGAAAUCCCCGGGCUCAACCUGGGAACUGCGUCCGAUACUGGAUGGCUUGAAUCCGGGAGAGGGAUGCAGAAUUCCAGGUGUAGCGGUGAAAUGCGUAGAUAUCUGGAGGAAUACCGGUGGCGAAGGCGGCAUCCUGGACCGGCAUUGACGCUGAGGAGCGAAAGCCAGGGGAGCAAAGCGGG